AUCAGGUAGGGCUACCCGCUGAACUUAAGCAUAUCAAUAAGCGGAGGAAAAGAAACUAACAAGGAUUCCCCUAGUAACGGCGAGUGAAGCGGGAAGAGCUCAAAUUUAAAAUCUGGCAGUCUACGAUUGUCCGAAUUGUAAUCUCGAGAAGUGUUUUCCGCGUUGGCCUGUGCACAAGUCCCUUGGAACAGGGCGUCAUAGAGGGUGAGAAUCCCGUCCUUGGCACAGAUACCCAAUGCUUUGUGAUACACUCUCAAUGAGUCGAGUUGUUUGGGAAUGCAGCUCAAAAUGGGAGGUAAAUUCCUUCUAAAGCUAAAUACUGGCGAGAGACCGAUAGCGAACAAGUACCGUGAGGGAAAGAUGAAAAGCACUUUGGAAAGAGAGUUAACAGUACGUGAAAUUGUUGGAAGGGAAACGCUUGAAGUCAGACUUGCUGUUCGG
Molecule: ribosomal RNA, 441 nt
Filed under: Stephanopyxis turris
Lineage: Eukaryota; Bacillariophyta; Melosirophyceae; Stephanopyxales; Stephanopyxidaceae
Description: partial Eukaryotic large subunit ribosomal RNA
Rfam family: Eukaryotic large subunit ribosomal RNA
Source: RNAcentral